This 72-nucleotide transfer RNA is filed under the name Pangasius djambal. Its description in RNAcentral is "tRNA-Glu". It matches the Rfam family "tRNA". From Rfam's summary of the family: Transfer RNA (tRNA) molecules are approximately 80 nucleotides in length. Their secondary structure includes four short double-helical elements and three loops (D, anti-codon, and T loops). Further hydrogen bonds mediate the characteristic L-shaped molecular structure. tRNAs have two regions of fundamental functional importance: the anti-codon, which is responsible for specific mRNA codon recognition, and the 3' end, to which the tRNAs corresponding amino acid is attached (by aminoacyl-tRNA synthetases). tRNAs cope with the degeneracy of the genetic code in two manners: having more than one tRNA (with a specific anti-codon) for a particular amino acid; and 'wobble' base-pairing, i.e. permitting non-standard base-pairing at the 3rd anti-codon position. The record is from RNAcentral. Lineage: Eukaryota; Metazoa; Chordata; Actinopteri; Siluriformes; Pangasiidae.
UCUCUGGAGGACUACUGGUUAGGCCAUGGCGCUCUCACUGCUGCAGCCUGGGUUCGAUUCCCGGCCAGGGAA